UACGGGGGGUGCGAGCGUUGUCCGGAAUCACUGGGCGUAAAGGGCGCGUAGGUGGUUUGAUAAGGGUGUGGUGAAAGCCCGGGGCUCAACCCCGGGUCUGCCGUGCCGACUGUCAAACUCGAGGGCUGUAGAGGCAGACGGAAUUCCCAGUGUAGCGGUGAAAUGCGUAGAUAUUGGGAAGAACACCGGAGGCGAAGGCGGAUUGCUGGGCCGACACUGACGCUGAGGCGCGAAAGCCAGGGGAGCGAACGGG
This 253-nucleotide ribosomal RNA is filed under the name uncultured bacterium. Its description in RNAcentral is "partial 16S ribosomal RNA". It matches the Rfam family "Bacterial small subunit ribosomal RNA", at positions 524 to 776 of the family's 1533-position model. The record is from RNAcentral.